GACGAACGCUGGCGGCGUGCUUAACACAUGCAAGUCGAGCGGAAAGGCCCUUCGGGGUACUCGAGCGGCGAACGGGUGAGUAACACGUGAGUAACCUGCCCCAGACUUUGGGAUAACCCUCGGAAACGGGGGCUAAUACCGGAUACGACACAGCUUCGCAUGGGGUCUGUGUGGAAAGUUUUUCGGUUUGGGAUGGGCUCGCGGCCUAUCAGCUUGUUGGUGGGGUGAUGGCUUACCAAGGCGACGACGGGUAGCCGGCCUGAGAGGGCGACCGGCCACACUGGGACUGAGACACGGCCCAGACUCCUACGGGAGGCAGCAGUGGGGAAUAUUGCACAAUGGGCGGAAGCCUGAUGCAGCGACGCCGCGUGAGGGAUGACGGCCUUCGGGUUGUAAACCUCUUUCAGCAGGGACGAAGCGUAAGUGACGGUACCUGCAGAAGAAGCGCCGGCCAACUACGUG
This 462-nucleotide ribosomal RNA is filed under the name uncultured bacterium. RNAcentral describes it as "partial 16S ribosomal RNA". It matches the Rfam family "Bacterial small subunit ribosomal RNA", at positions 28 to 507 of the family's 1533-position model. The record is from RNAcentral.